This 71-nucleotide transfer RNA is filed under the name Minisyncoccota bacterium. Its description in RNAcentral is "tRNA-Cys". It matches the Rfam family "tRNA". From Rfam's summary of the family: Transfer RNA (tRNA) molecules are approximately 80 nucleotides in length. Their secondary structure includes four short double-helical elements and three loops (D, anti-codon, and T loops). Further hydrogen bonds mediate the characteristic L-shaped molecular structure. tRNAs have two regions of fundamental functional importance: the anti-codon, which is responsible for specific mRNA codon recognition, and the 3' end, to which the tRNAs corresponding amino acid is attached (by aminoacyl-tRNA synthetases). tRNAs cope with the degeneracy of the genetic code in two manners: having more than one tRNA (with a specific anti-codon) for a particular amino acid; and 'wobble' base-pairing, i.e. permitting non-standard base-pairing at the 3rd anti-codon position. The record is from RNAcentral. Lineage: Bacteria; Bacillati; Minisyncoccota.
GGCCACGUAGAAAAGUGGUAAUUCGACGCUCUGCAAAAGCGUUAUCGCGAGUUCGAUUCUCGCCGUGGCCU